AUACGUAGGGGGCAAGCGUUAUCCGGAAUUACUGGGACGUAAAGGGUGCGUAGGUGGCCUGACAAGUCAGGGGUCAAAGGCAACGGCUCAACCGUUGUAAGCCCUUGAAACUGUCGGGCUUGAGUUCAGGAGAGGAAAGCGGAAUUCCUAGUGUAGCGGUGGAAUGCGUAGAUAUUAGGAGGAACACCAGUGGCGAAGGCGGCUUUCUGGACUGAUACUGACACUGAGGCACGAAAGCGUGGGGAGC
This 247-nucleotide ribosomal RNA is filed under the name uncultured bacterium. Its description in RNAcentral is "partial 16S ribosomal RNA". It matches the Rfam family "Bacterial small subunit ribosomal RNA", at positions 523 to 769 of the family's 1533-position model. The record is from RNAcentral.